Molecule: ribosomal RNA, 497 nt
Filed under: uncultured bacterium
Lineage: Bacteria
Description: partial 16S ribosomal RNA
Rfam family: Bacterial small subunit ribosomal RNA
Source: RNAcentral
GAUGAACGCUGGCGGCGUGCCUAAUACAUGCAAGUCGAGCGAACGGACGAGAAGCUUGCUCCUCUGAUGUUAGCGGCGGACGGGUGAGUAACACGUGGAUAACCUACUUCUAAGACUGGGAUAACUUCGGGAAACCGCAGCUAAUACUGGAUAAUACUUUGAACCGCAUGGUUCAAAAGUGAUUGACGGUUUUGCUGUCUCUUUUAGAUGGUUCCGCGCUGCAUUAGCUAGUUGGUAAGGUAACGGCUUACCAAGGCAACGAUGCGUAGCUGACCUGAGAGGAUGAUCAGCCACACUGGAACUGAGACACGGUCCAGACUCCUACGGGAGGCAGCAGUGGGGAAUCUUCCGCAAUGGGCGAAAGCCUGACGGAGCAACGCCGCGUGAGUGAUGAAGGUCUUCGGAUCGUAAAGCUCUGUUAUUGGGGAAGAAAAUAAGUGUAAGUAACUGUGCACGUCUUGACGGUACCUAAACAGAAAGCAACGGCUAACUACGUG